This 73-nucleotide transfer RNA is filed under the name Zingiber officinale. Its description in RNAcentral is "tRNA-Tyr". It matches the Rfam family "tRNA". Rfam says of the family: Transfer RNA (tRNA) molecules are approximately 80 nucleotides in length. Their secondary structure includes four short double-helical elements and three loops (D, anti-codon, and T loops). Further hydrogen bonds mediate the characteristic L-shaped molecular structure. tRNAs have two regions of fundamental functional importance: the anti-codon, which is responsible for specific mRNA codon recognition, and the 3' end, to which the tRNAs corresponding amino acid is attached (by aminoacyl-tRNA synthetases). tRNAs cope with the degeneracy of the genetic code in two manners: having more than one tRNA (with a specific anti-codon) for a particular amino acid; and 'wobble' base-pairing, i.e. permitting non-standard base-pairing at the 3rd anti-codon position. Lineage: Eukaryota; Viridiplantae; Streptophyta; Magnoliopsida; Zingiberales; Zingiberaceae. The record is from RNAcentral.
CCGACAUUAACUCAGUUGGUAGAAUAAAGGAUUGUAAAUCCUUAGGUCGUUGGGUCGAAUUCGACAUGUCGGA